Molecule: transfer RNA, 48 nt
Filed under: Paleosuchus palpebrosus (Cuvier's dwarf caiman)
Lineage: Eukaryota; Metazoa; Chordata; Crocodylia; Alligatoridae
Description: partial tRNA-Met
Source: RNAcentral
CUAUUGGGCCCAUACCCCAAAAAUGAAGGUCUUCCCCUCCGCUCCUAC